Molecule: long non-coding RNA, 4458 nt
Organism: Sapajus apella (tufted capuchin)
Lineage: Eukaryota; Metazoa; Chordata; Mammalia; Primates; Cebidae
Exons: 2
Source: RefSeq, a predicted model, not a curated record
AGCUGGUAACCAUGGCAAGCUCCUCAGGGAGGCUUCAGGCUGGAGCCUCCUCAGCCCCAGACUCCUGCGUGGCCGGCCGCUUUCCUCUAGGAUGGAAGAAGGGAGAGGCUGGAUGUGGCAGGAAUGGGCUUCAGAGGCCAAGGCCAAGAAGUCAUAGUAACCCCAGCAAUCAUGAGCGCUUCAACACUAACACAUCUCACCCUCACAAUAACCAUCAUCACCCCCAUUUUAUAGGUGGGCAGACUGGGGCCAGGGAGCAUGAGGGCACCGUCAAGGUCACACACCAAGGAAGCAGUUGACUCUGGGGCUGAGGUGCUUAAGCACUCUGGCACAGUCCUUCUUUCCCCAGCCACUGCUUUUGGUUGUUUGAAUGUCUCUUAGAUCUCAGUCCCUGCUUACAUUCCCCUAGCGUUGGGGAAAUCACUCCUCUCCGGACAGCCUGUUAUCUCUCUAACAAUUAGACACAGUUGCCAAAUGAUUGAUCAGGCCCUGUGACUCCUCAGAAAGGUUAUUUUGGCACUGAGUGCCCUCUGUGAUCUGGCUGCUAACUCUCUUCUGCGAACUGAUGGCUCACGGCUCGCCACCGCAGCAGGCUGCCUGGGGUCUCCUUGCUGCUCAGUGUCCCGCUCUGCCCCGGGUCUUUCUUAUUCAUUCCCAUCCUGCUUCAAUUACCAGCCCUGUCUCCGUUCCUAUCAUGGAAUAUCAAAGCUGGAAAUCCAUGACUCCUCAUUUUCCUGAUGGAGAGAGGCCCAGAGAGGGGGCACAUUUCUCCAGUGCACAGGGUGAGUUGACAGCGUGGGUCCCAAAUCUUCUGCCAAUAAAAUAAUAAAUAGUACUGAGCCUAGCUAAUUUUCGUCAAGUGCUUGAUAACCACCAUGCUAAGUGUCUCACGAAUGUAAUCGAUUUACUUCUCACAUAGCCCUGUGAGGCAGACUAUUUCUCUUGCCAUGUUGCCAUGGAGACGAAGCACAGAGAGGUGACUUGCCCAAGAUCACACAAGCAUCUGACGUCAGAGCCAGGCUCCGAGCCAGGGGCUCCCCGAACCGUGCACCCGCUGUCCAUUCCACGUGGCCCACUGUGGGUGAUUGAGCAGACAGAGGAUGACAAGAGGAGCCAGCCUGCCAGGGACAGGUGUGUCUUUUUCUAUCCCACCUGCAAACUCUUCACUCUUUCCCUGGGCAAUUUCACUGAUGCUGAUGGCUUCCACUACCAUCAAUACUAUGAUGGCUCCCAAGCUUAGUAUCCUCAGUCCUAACCUUUCCUCUGAAGUUCAGGGAGAAACAUACAGCUGCCCUCUCAUGCCUCCACUUAGAUGCCUCCAAAAAACCUCAAACUCAACAUGUCCAAAGCUAAGUGCAUGUUCCUCUUCCCUAAAACUGACUCUUCUCUGGGGUUUUCCAUCUUGGUGAAUGACACCCCCAUCUGUCAAGUGUUUGAGGCCAGAUGGCUGGAAGUCAGGCAUGGCAUCUCCACUGCUGCACCCCCAAAAGGCAAUGGUGAAGUCUGGGCCACUCCACCUUCUAAAUAGCUCUCUAAAUUGACCAUUUCACAUCAUCUCCCUCUCCAUUCUAAUUCCAACCAGAAAUUUAAGAAGACGCUUAGGUUUUUACAAGCUUAGGGAGGCAGCAACCCUUUUUUGGAUGUGUUAUGUUUGAGAUGUUCCUGAGACAUGCAUGUUGAGAUGUGUCAUAGACAGUGGAUGAAACAGUCUGGAACUCCAAGGAGAAAUCCAGGCUGGAGACAUAACUCCGCAAUUCAUCAGCAUGUGGAUGAUAUUUAAUGCUGAGGAAAUGAAUAGAUCACCUGGGGAGAGACAGAGAACAGGUCCUGAAGUGAACCUUGGGGCACACCACCAUCAGAGAUGAAACAGAGGAGGAGAAGGAAGCACGAUGACUGAGAAGAAGCUGCCAGUGAGGUUGGAGGCCAUCCAAGAGUCUGUCAUGGAAACCAAGAGCGGAACUAGAGGUCAGCAUGAUGAAACCUGUUGAGAAGCAAAGUAAACUGAGGACACGGAAAUGCCUCCACGAGCAGAGAUUGCUGGUAUCCUUGCUAAGAGUGUUGAUGUCUAUCUUCCCUGCUGGGCUGUAAGUCCCAUGAAGCAAGGGAUGUCAUUUGUUUGCUCACAUUGUACUGCCAGUGCUUAGUUCAUCACGCAUUGUUUUCUGGUGUGUCUGGUUAUCUUUGACUGUAUGUUGGCCAUUGUACUCGAAAUUUUAUUUUAAGGAAUAAUUUGAAGCCCAGGAUAAAGGUAUUUUCUUCUACUGAGCAUUUGCAUAUGGCUGUGGGUGUUAUCAUUCUGUGAUUAAAUACAGUUCGAGGCUUGAGGUUCCCUGGCAUACCAAAGUUGUGUGGAUGAGGCUUCCAAUCCAUGAUUCAAGGCUGGGUCAUCUCUGGUUCACCCUUACCCCGAGGGUGAAUCCUUUGGCAUUCUAGUUUAUUUUGGUGAGAAUCUCUCAACUGAUUUCCCACCUUGUUCAGGCCAUGAACUUGGAUUUCAAUUCCGCUUAUGCCGUGAGCUCAUCAAAAAACAAAUUCAGAUUUUCUAGGAUCAGCAAAUGCCCUGAGGACAAAAGCAGUUUCUGUGCUCUCUAACUUCUCUGGGGUUUCUGUUUUUCCUUCAGUUUUGACCUAAUAAUUCCUUACAAAGAGCUUACUUGUCAGCUCUUUAAUGCUUUAAUAAGGUGCUUUUUAUAUUUUAUUCAGCAUUCUUGGCCCUUUUUAGCUGAAGGGUUGACCCCAAAAACCUAACCUCCUGUUGCUAAACACAGAAAUGGCUAAUCCCUAGGACUUCAUCACUGUGCAUGGCACAUCAUUAUGGCUCAAUAAAUAUUUGUUAAUUAAAUGAAUGAAGGAAGCCCAGGUGUCUAAUGUCCCUACUCUUUCCGAUGCAUUGAUCAUCAUACCCACAGGCCAAGAUGCUAAGAGAGAGCUGUGCUCAGAGCUCGGUGAGCUGUGCAGAGAGGCAGGACUGUGAGCUCCGAGCAGGGAAAGACCCCCGUGGAAUGGGGAGAGACAAUGGCGGGGGUAUCAGAUACGUGAGUACAAGGAUGGAACUGCAUCUUGGCAGAUGAGCCACUGGCUUGGGAAAGGACUCAAAGGAAGUGGACAUUGUAAGUAAAGGCCUGAAAUGAAGACUGGAAUGAAUGAGGAAUCCAAGAGCUAGGAGUGGGCAGAGAAGCAGGGACCAGCCAGGGAAAGGGGCCAACGGAGGCCCCAGGGCCCAGUGUGAAUGCAGAAGCCAAGCUGCGCUGGGGCAGUUCCCUGCAGCCACUGGGAGGAGGGAAGAGUGGGGAGAGGAGGCAACAGCUUUUGUUGAAAUGCACACAUGGUAAUUGCUACAGAAGAGCAUUUCCCUUAGUUUAAAACGCUUUCUCCUCUGCAUUUUCCUUGGUCCUAGUUUCAAAGGAAUUUUAAUUGCAAAGAAAAUUUUGUCAUCUCCCUAGGGGGAGAGGGCUCCGCAACUUCCAACAGUCAUGCCUGAUGCUGAUUCUUCUUUAAACUGGGAAUUUUCACGCUUUGGCUGCGUGGAAGCUUUCUGAGGAUUGGGCAGCAGGGAGGGAGGGGUAGGGGUACAACAGGGCUCUCUGCUCCUCUCUGGGAUGGGAAGGCUGGGUUUGCAGCCAGGGGUUCCCUGGCCUAGGUCCUCAACAAGGGUCUUUGGUGCCGACCUGGACACCAUGUACCCAGGUUACAGAUGACGGUUCUAACGCCUUUCCCCUUAAAUCCAGUGGAUUUAUUUAAUUAAUGAUAUUAAUGAAAGAAUUGGACCCUUAGCUUCCAUCCUUGUUCCACUCUAGAUUAUUCUCCACAUGGCAGCCAUUUGGAAAACAGUUUGGUCGUUUCUUUAAAAGUUAAGUAUAAAUUUACUGUACGAUCCAGCGAUUUCAUUCCUAGGUAUCUACACAAGAGAAAUGAAAACAUAUGUCCACAUAAAAGCUCGUAUGAAAAUGUUCACAGCACCAUGAUUCAACAUAGCCAAAAGCAGAAAAAAACCCCAAAGCCUCUCCCUCAGUGAAUGGAUAUGCGAAUGUGGUAUACCCACACAGAGGAGUACUAUUAAGCAAUAAAAAGGAAUGCGCUGCUGAUAUCUGUGAUAACUCGGCUGUACCUCCAAAACAUUAUACUCAAUGAAAGGAGCCAGAUGCGAAACACAAAACAAAAAGCAUAUAUGGUAUGCUUUUGUUUAUAGCAAAUGUCCCGAAAAGGCAACUCCAUAGAGACAGAAAACAGAAGUGGUUGCCUGGGGCUGGCAGUGGGGAUGGAGAUUGACUGCAGAUGGGCACGAAGGCUCUUUCUGGGGUGAAAGGAAUGUUCUGUAACUGAAUGGUGGUUGCACAACUCUGUAAUUUAUGAAAACUCAUUGAACUGUAUGCUUACAAUGGGUGAAGUUUACAGCAUGUAAAUUAUACCUCAGUAAAACUUUUGGGAAAAGUGGCCCCCAUUUCUCUCAGUACAAAA